CUGCGAAUGGCUCAUUAAAACAGUUAUAGUUUAUUUGAUACAUUAAAUGGAUAACUGUAGAAAAACUAGAGCUAAUACAUGCCAUAACCGUAAGGUUGUAUUUAUUAGAUAUUCCAAUUAAGGUGAAUCAUAAUAACUUCGCAAAUCUCGGUUAUGCCGAGAUAAAUCAUUCAAGUUUCUGCCCUAUCAUGCUUUCGAUGGUAGUGUAUUGGACUACCAUGGCUUUCGCGGGUAACAGGGAAUUAGGGUUCGAUUCUGGAGAAGGAGCCUGAGAAACGGCUACUACAUCUACGGAAGGUAGCAGGCGCGUAAAUUACCCAAUCCUGACUCAGGGAGGUGGUGACAAGAUAUAACAACGCGAUUAACAUCGCGAUUGUAGUGAGGGUAUUCUAAACCGAACCACUAGUACGAUUAGAGGGCAAGUCUGGUGCCAGCAGCCGCGGUAAUUCCAGCUCUAAUAGCGUAUAUUAAAGUUGCUGCAGUUAAAAAGCUCGUAGUUGGAUUUCAAGGAUUAUUUACUCACCCGAGUAAAUCUCCUACUAGUCUUUGACUGUUACUGUGAGAAAAUUAGAGUGUUUCAAGCAGGCUUUUGCAAGAAUACAUUAGCAUGGAAUAACGAAUGUGUUUAGAAUCUUGGUUAAAUUCUAGAUUACGAUUAAUAGAGACAGUUGGGGGCAUUAGUAUUUAAAUUGUCAGAGGUGAAAUUCUUGGAUUUGUUUAA
RNAcentral lists this ribosomal RNA (721 nucleotides) under uncultured Blepharocorys. RNAcentral's name for it is "SSU rRNA". It matches the Rfam family "Eukaryotic small subunit ribosomal RNA", at positions 87 to 933 of the family's 1831-position model. The record is from RNAcentral. Lineage: Eukaryota; Ciliophora; Litostomatea; Entodiniomorphida.